CGGCGGGCCCCCUCCUUCCUUGGCACGAGCAGCCGGGCCAGCUCUGCUCCCUGGCCCAACGGCUCCCAAAAGCCCGGGCAGCCCCGGGUGCACUCUGCCGAGGCAGAGAGCCUCCCCUCUGACUCAGGCCAGGGCUCACGCUCCCAGAACUUCCGCUGGGACCUCCCGUCUGGCUCUUCGAGGAACACAUGAUGGGAGUCCAUCGGCACCCUCAGCACAGAGCCUGCCCCCGAGACGGAGCUCAUGAAUGUUUGUGGAGUCAGAGCAAGAGAGGAGACAGCACUGGACCCCACGCAGCGAGCGGCCCUACAGGCUCAUCGGCACAGGCGGGGGGGACGGGCCUGCUGAGUGGGAGGAGGCGAGUCCUGAGAAGGAGCAGCCAGGGCAGGUUUGUCCUCUGCCUGGACAGCAGCCUUGUGCAGUGUUGGUGGUAACUCUUCUUUCCCUUUUAAAACAUUUGUAGUGAUGAUGGUGGUGGUGAUGACGAUGUUUGGGUACAGAUUGGGAGAGAAACUUUAGUGGGGUUCUCUGCACCGCUAGGCACAGUGUAUCACGUUCCUGGGUCCACCGUGCUCCUCCCCUCCCCAGGAUCACCACUCCUGUCUUUGCAGAAGGAGAGCACCUUUCCUUCUUGCCUCAGCUUCUCCCAUCCUGCUCAGACCUUGUCCUCUGGCAAAGGUGUUCUUUGCCAGAAGACCCCAGCAUCUUACAGGCCACCACAUUAGCCAGACAGCAGGAUGGCACAGAAAGCUUCCCCACAUCGACUGCGGGGGGUGAAGGUGUUGCCCGCCCUGUGGAUUUUCCAGAGGGUCUGGAGGGUCCUGGUGGGGCCAUGGCAGGCUGGGGGCUCAAGAUCAGCCGGAGCAUAUGAGAGGGGUCUAACUUCUUCUGAGCUGCACCCUAGACAGCCUGGAUGCAGGCAUAUUCCCUUCUUUCCCUCCCUCCUCCUCCUCCUCUCUCUCUCUGACUCUCUUUUCCAGGAUUUAUUUUUUGGGAACCUGCUCUGAGCCAGCACCAGGAAGGCAAAGUCCCUGUCCUCACAGAGCUCGCAGGCCGGAGGGGAGACAGACAGACAGACAGACUCGGGCACCUGAGAAGUGCCAGGCACAGGGAGUAUCUAAGCAGGAUGUCUGAUUAAGCAGUCAGGGCAGGUCCCUGACAAAGUGGUGCUUCAGCUGAAACCUGGAGAAUGGGUCAGAGUUAGCAGGUGGUGAGGUUGGAGGGAGGAUGGCCUGGGCGGAGAGAAUAGCGCAUGAAGUGGCCCCAACAAUAUCUCCCCGCCACAGUGAGACCUUGACACUCCUCCCAAUGAGAGGUAGGAUCUCUGCCCCCUCCCCUUGAAUCUGGAUGGUUUCUGACUUGCUUGUAACCAGUAGAAUGCAGUGGGAGUGACACUACCUGACUGCCAAGACUGGGUGAAAAAAGGCAGUGCAGCUUCUGCCUUGUUUACUGGCACACUCUGUGUUGGCGCCAUGAGCCAAGCUGGACCCCAAGAAGUCCAGCUACCCGGAAGCUGCCGUGUGAAGACUGCAUGCACCAUAGGUCCCAGCUGGCAGCUGGCAUCAACCCCCAGACAUGGGAGGAAAGAGGCCCCUCGCCAUCGAGUCAUCCCCAGCUAUAGCGUCUUCCUGCUGAGGCCCCAGACAUCAGGCAGCAGAGAUAAGCCAUCCUAGUGUUCCAUGUCUGAAUUCCUGACCCACAGAACCCGUGAGGAUAAGGAAAUGGUUAUUUUAGGCCGCAAAGUUUUGGUGGUAAUUUGUUACACUGCAGUAGUAACAGGAGCGGACCCUGAGGCAAGAGCAACUGUGAGUUCUUCCAGGAGCUGAGAGGAGUGCGGUGUGGAGGAGAGGAGGGGAGCGUGGCAGGGGAUGAGGCCUUGUCAGAGGGCGGACUUCAUCCCGAGGGCAGUCAGGAACCACUGCAAGGCUCUGAGCAGGACAGGGUUCCGGCUUGCUUUUGUUUUUAAGAAGGCCACGCUGGUGUUGACUGGAUGGACAGGCGCUGCGGCCGUGGCAUCGGAGCUGCUGGGAGUUGGUUGCAGCUGUCCUGGUGAGAGAGGAGCACUGAGCCUCACUUUCCUCAUGUGGAAAAUGAAGAUGAUGUAAGGAUCUACCUCACAGGGCUGUUGCGAAAAUUAAAUAAGAUGUGACACGUUAAGUGUAACACACAUGGCUCCUCCCCACUCUUAUCCGGAACCUCCUGGUCAAGCUUCCACCUUGACAGCUCCCAGAUCUUGGAAUCCUCCUGACCUCAGUGAGCACCAUCCCUGCGUUUCCACCUGCCUGUUGGACGGGUGUCAUGUGACGAAAGCAUUUGAGGAAAAGGGAAUCUUUCUUUUUCUUUUUAUAGUUUUUA
Balaenoptera acutorostrata (minke whale) is the source of this 2355-nucleotide long non-coding RNA. RefSeq lists it as uncharacterized. NCBI's taxonomy places the organism in Eukaryota, Metazoa, Chordata, Mammalia, Artiodactyla, Balaenopteridae. The record is from RefSeq and is a predicted model, not a curated record. The transcript has 4 exons.